This 75-nucleotide transfer RNA is filed under the name Halogranum amylolyticum. RNAcentral describes it as "tRNA_Met_CAT". It matches the Rfam family "tRNA". From Rfam's summary of the family: Transfer RNA (tRNA) molecules are approximately 80 nucleotides in length. Their secondary structure includes four short double-helical elements and three loops (D, anti-codon, and T loops). The record is from RNAcentral. Lineage: Archaea; Methanobacteriati; Methanobacteriota; Halobacteria; Halobacteriales; Haloferacaceae. RNAcentral also lists the same sequence under 2 other names.
GGGCCCUUAGCUCAGUCUGGUUAGAGCGCUCGGCUCAUAACCGAGUGGUCAUUGGUUCGAAUCCGAUAGGGCCCA